GGUGAAUAAACUGCUACAAGUUUUGGAUCCGCUGGUCGAAAACCUUGCCGCCCCGGAUCCGUCGCCAUUGUUGAGGAUCCCAAGCAAUGCGUCGAGGGAUAGAUAAGUUUACUCUCAGAAGAAGUAAAAAGAAGGGAAGGGCAAAAAUUUUGCCUAGACUCCGAAUCGUUAUGUUUUCCAGAACCUUCACUUGCGCUAGGGGU
RNAcentral lists this long non-coding RNA (203 nucleotides) under Sorghum bicolor (sorghum). RNAcentral's name for it is "long non-coding RNA (SBIC_LNC004146)". The record is from RNAcentral. Lineage: Eukaryota; Viridiplantae; Streptophyta; Magnoliopsida; Poales; Poaceae.